Solanum lycopersicum (tomato) is the source of this 1248-nucleotide long non-coding RNA. RefSeq lists it as uncharacterized. NCBI's taxonomy places the organism in Eukaryota, Viridiplantae, Streptophyta, Magnoliopsida, Solanales, Solanaceae. The record is from RefSeq and is a predicted model, not a curated record.
UUUUACAUGUUUUUCUUUUGGCCUUGAUAAUUCAUACUCUAACUCACAAGUCUAUCUCUUACUUUGUUUUUGAGAAUAUUAGUCUGGCAUAAAAAAGGAAUAUCAGUUUGCCAGUUCUUUAGUCUUUUGGAUUUGUUGAAGCCAUUAUCUCUGUAUCUUUUUGGCAUGUGGUUCCUAUUUCGACGACAAGGGAAACCCGCAACUGUACCUCUUGAUCAUAUUUUUCUGGGCCAUGAAACUGCUUAAAAUUAAAGUGUGCAUGGAUGUGCAAAGAGUACUAAAUAUAAAUUUGCCUCCAAUUCACCAAUUACAUUUUCAUUCUUUCUUCUCUUGAUUUUUAAGUGAUGAGAGUUGCUAAAAAUUUAUAUACUGGAACGCCUAAUGCGUGCUUAUAAAGAUCAACUAGAAGAAAGUAAUGCAGUACAAGAAGAAAAAGGGAUACAUUCUGUAUUCAAAUGCAGAAAUAUGGUCUGUUGAUCUGUUAUGGAUUAGGUUCAUGCAACUCUUAGUAACAGCGUGUACGUGGAAGUGUAACUCUCAAGAAAGGGAUAAAUGGCCAAGACAGUAUGAGUGAAGAGUUCUCUUACUACUUUAAACAGAAGAUAUCAAAGUAAGUGGACCUGUGGAAUAAAGACAUUUGUUACUUCUGUGGUUAAGAGUGGCUAAUAAUCACUUGCCAAAUAUCGGAUCUGUGAAGCAGAACUAGGUGUAAAAGGUGAGCUGCAUCAUUAUUGAAUUUCUCUGUUUAUUAUGAACAGGUGUCUGUAUUUUCAUUCUCACAUUAGGGAUUUGAGGUUUGUUUGGGGGUGGGGGGUGGGGAGCAGACUCAUAGAAGUGAUGAGAAACCAGUGAAAGGCAAAUGAGUGGAAAACAAAAGCUAUAGCAUUAUAUUAGCAAGCAACUUACCUAGCGAAAUUUGAGGAUAAGCUUUGUGAUUACUAUUUGGUAUAUUAGGGCUCAGGCAUAAUACUAACCUAGCGAAAUUUGAGGAUAAGCUUUGUGAUUGCAAUUAGGUAUAUCAGGCAUAAUACUAACCUAGUGAAAUUUGAGGAUAAGCUUUAUGAUUAGAAUUUGGUAUAUCAGUCUUUGCCUUGGGCAGUGAUUUCAAUCUAUCUUAAUGUUCUCUCUAUUUUCCUUUGCACAUGCGAUAUUUGUACCGUGGCAAGUGGAUCCUGAAAGCAUUGAACCAACCAGUUUCCUCAACUUCCAAAGUCUAUUUUAGUUUGCACGUAACCAUUUUGACCAAAA